This 742-nucleotide ribosomal RNA is filed under the name uncultured bacterium. RNAcentral describes it as "bacterial SSU rRNA". It matches the Rfam family "Bacterial small subunit ribosomal RNA", at positions 92 to 820 of the family's 1533-position model. The record is from RNAcentral.
CGAGCGGCGGAUGGGUGAGGAACGCGUGGGGAACCUGCCCCUGAGUCUGGGAUACCAUUUGGAAACAGGUGCUAAUACCGGAUAAUAAAGCGGAUCGCAUGAUCAGCUUUUGAAAGGCGGCGUAAGCUGUCGCUAAGGGAUGGCCCCGCGGUGCAUUAGCUAGUUGGUAAGGUAACGGCUUACCAAGGCGACGAUGCAUAGCCGAGUUGAGAGACUGAUCGGCCACAUUGGGACUGAGACACGGCCCAAACUCCUAUGGGAGGCAGCAGUAGGGAAUCUUCCACAAUGGACGCAAGUCUGAUGGAGCAACGCCGCGUGAGUGAAGAAGGUUUUCGGAUCGUAAAGCUCUGUUGUUGGUGAAGAAGGAUAGAGGUAGUAACUGGCCUUUAUUUGACGGUAAUCAACCAGAAAGUCACGGCUAACUACGUGCCAGCAGCCGCGGUAAUACGUAGGUGGCAAGCGUUGUCCGGAUUUAUUGGGCGUAAAGCGAGCGCAGGCGGAAAAAUAAGUCUAAUGUGAAAGCCCUCGGCUUAACCGAGGAACUGCAUCGGAAACUGUUUUUCUUGAGUGCAGAAGAGGAGAGUGGAACUCCAUGUGUAGCGGUGGAAUGCGUAGAUAUAUGGAAGAACACCAGUGGCGAAGGCGGCUCUCUGGUCUGCAACUGACGCUGAGGCUCGAAAGCAUGGGUAGCGAACAGGAUUAGAUACCCUGGUAGUCCAUGCCGUAAACGAUGAGUGCUAAG